GGAGAUAUACCCAAGUCCGGUUGAAGGGAACUGUCUUGAAAACAGUUAGGUGUUAAAAGCACGCGGGAGUUCAAAUCUCUCUAUCUCCG
RNAcentral lists this transfer RNA (89 nucleotides) under Lingula anatina. It matches the Rfam family "tRNA". Rfam says of the family: Transfer RNA (tRNA) molecules are approximately 80 nucleotides in length. Their secondary structure includes four short double-helical elements and three loops (D, anti-codon, and T loops). The record is from Rfam by way of RNAcentral. Lineage: Eukaryota; Metazoa; Brachiopoda; Lingulata; Lingulida; Lingulidae.